UACGGAGGGUGCGAGCGUUGUCCGGAAUCACUGGGCGUAAAGGGCGCGUAGGCGGCGCGGUAAGCGUGCGGUGAAAGUCCGGGGCUCAACCCCGGAUCGGCCGUGCGGACUGCCGGGCUUGAGCACUGUAGGGGCGGGUGGAACUCCGGGUGUAGCGGUGGAAUGCGUAGAGAUCCGGAAGAACACCGGUGGCGAAGGCGGCCCGCUGGGCAGUGACUGACGCUGAGGCGCGACAGCGUGGGGAGCAAACAGG
RNAcentral lists this ribosomal RNA (253 nucleotides) under uncultured bacterium. RNAcentral's name for it is "partial 16S ribosomal RNA". It matches the Rfam family "Bacterial small subunit ribosomal RNA", at positions 524 to 776 of the family's 1533-position model. The record is from RNAcentral.